GCGCGAGUGGUUUAGACUGGCUAUAACGACACGCUCACAUCUCGACGGUCGGGGGUUCAAAUCCCCCCUUGCGCA
This 75-nucleotide transfer RNA is filed under the name Promethearchaeota archaeon. Its description in RNAcentral is "Candidatus Lokiarchaeota archaeon tRNA-Val". It matches the Rfam family "tRNA". Rfam says of the family: Transfer RNA (tRNA) molecules are approximately 80 nucleotides in length. Their secondary structure includes four short double-helical elements and three loops (D, anti-codon, and T loops). Further hydrogen bonds mediate the characteristic L-shaped molecular structure. tRNAs have two regions of fundamental functional importance: the anti-codon, which is responsible for specific mRNA codon recognition, and the 3' end, to which the tRNAs corresponding amino acid is attached (by aminoacyl-tRNA synthetases). tRNAs cope with the degeneracy of the genetic code in two manners: having more than one tRNA (with a specific anti-codon) for a particular amino acid; and 'wobble' base-pairing, i.e. permitting non-standard base-pairing at the 3rd anti-codon position. The record is from RNAcentral. Lineage: Archaea; Promethearchaeati; Promethearchaeota.